Long non-coding RNA from Corvus hawaiiensis (hawaiian crow), 459 nucleotides. RefSeq lists it as uncharacterized. The record is from RefSeq and is a predicted model, not a curated record. The transcript is spliced from 3 exons. NCBI's taxonomy places the organism in Eukaryota, Metazoa, Chordata, Aves, Passeriformes, Corvidae.
GAGGGGUUUCCUCAACUCACUUUUGCACGGCGAUGCUGGAAGAGAGGCGCUUAUGCCGGGCUCCUGGGGGGCGGGGGGUGUCUCUCACGGAAGGACGGUGAGAGCGUCUCCCAGGGUCUGGGGGAGCGCUUGGAUGUGGAGCGUUGCUUAAAUGAGGUGCCGAGGGAUGAACCUUUGUGCCGGGGAGUAGCAGAGGGAUAGGAUGUAAACCAGACACAAAUGGAGGAGGCCAGAGGAGCACAGCAAUGAGGUGGGUUGGCACCUGAAGCCCAAGCUCCAGCCUGACUUUCUUCAAUGCUUACCCCGUUGUUUGGCUCUUUGUUUCAUUAGAAGAUGCGAAGCGCUUGGUACGGCCAGGUGGUCUGAAGCAUUCCAACCGCUGGUCCAAUAUGACAGAGGCCCUUGCGGAAAGAGGUCACGGUCAAGCGGUUUCAGAUGGAAACUAAUCCGGCAAUGCCA